RNAcentral lists this ribosomal RNA (598 nucleotides) under Staphylococcus sp. CH64a_2B. RNAcentral's name for it is "bacterial SSU rRNA". It matches the Rfam family "Bacterial small subunit ribosomal RNA", at positions 50 to 632 of the family's 1533-position model. Lineage: Bacteria; Bacillati; Bacillota; Bacilli; Caryophanales; Staphylococcaceae. The record is from RNAcentral.
UAUACUGCAAGUCGAGCGAAAGAUAAGGAGCUUGCUCCUUUGACGUUAGCGGCGGACGGGUGAGUAACACGUGGGUAACCUACCUAUAAGACUGGGAUCACUUCGGGAAACCGGAGCUAAUACCGGAUAACAUUUGGAACCGCAUGGUUCUAAAGUGAAAGAUGGUUUUGCUAUCACUUAUAGAUGGACCCGCGCCGUAUUAGCUAGUUGGUAAGGUAACGGCUUACCAAGGCAACGAUACGUAGCCGACCUGAGAGGGUGAUCGGCCACACUGGAACUGAGACACGGUCCAGACUCCUACGGGAGGCAGCAGUAGGGAAUCUUCCGCAAUGGGCGAAAGCCUGACGGAGCAACGCCGCGUGAGUGAUGAAGGGUUUCGGCUCGUAAAACUCUGUUAUUAGGGAAGAACAAAUGUGUAAGUAACUGUGCACAUCUUGACGGUACCUAAUCAGAAAGCCACGGCUAACUACGUGCCAGCAGCCGCGGUAAUACGUAGGUGGCAAGCGUUAUCCGGAAUUAUUGGGCGUAAAGCGCGCGUAGGCGGUUUCUUAAGUCUGAUGUGAAAGCCCACGGCUCAACCGUGGAGGGUCAUUGGAAA